UUCCCUUCGGGGACAAAGUGACAGGUGGUGCAUGGUUGUCGUCAGCUCGUGUCGUGAGAUGUUGAGUUAAGUCCCGCAACGAGCGCAACCCUUAUUGCCAGUUGCUACCAUUUAGUUGAGCACUCUGGUGAGACCGCCUCGGAUAACGGGGAGGAAGGUGGGGAUGACGUCAAGUCCUCAUGGCCUUUAUGUCCAGGGCUACACACGUGCUACAAUGGCCGGUACAAACCGCCGCAAACCCGCGAGGGGGAGCUAAUCGGAAAAAGCCGGCCUCAGUUCGGAUUGUAGUCUGCAACUCGACUACAUGAAGCUGGAAUCGCUAGUAAUCGCGGAUCAGCAUGCCGCGGUGAAUACGUUCCCGGGCCUUGUACACACCGCCCGUCACAUCACGAAAGUGGGUCGUACUAGAAGCGGGUGAGCCAACCGUAAGGAGGCAGCCUUCCAAGGUGUGAUUCAUGAUUGGGGUGAAGUCGUAACAAGGUAGCCGUAGGAGAACCUGCGGCUGGAUCACCUCCUUUCUAAG
This 523-nucleotide ribosomal RNA is filed under the name Acidobacterium sp. Its description in RNAcentral is "bacterial SSU rRNA". It matches the Rfam family "Bacterial small subunit ribosomal RNA", at positions 1014 to 1533 of the family's 1533-position model. The record is from RNAcentral. Lineage: Bacteria; Pseudomonadati; Acidobacteriota; Terriglobia; Terriglobales; Acidobacteriaceae.